RNAcentral lists this ribosomal RNA (570 nucleotides) under uncultured bacterium. Its description in RNAcentral is "bacterial SSU rRNA". It matches the Rfam family "Bacterial small subunit ribosomal RNA", at positions 915 to 1484 of the family's 1533-position model. The record is from RNAcentral.
GGGGGCCCGCACAAGCGGUGGAGCAUGUGGUUUAAUUCGAAGCAACGCGAAGAACCUUACCAGCCCUUGACAUGCCAAGACGACUUCCAGAGACGGAUUUCUUCCCUUCGGGGACUUGGACACAGGUGCUGCGUGGCUGUCGUCAGCUCGUGUCGUGAGAUGUUGGGUUAAGUCCCGCAACGAGCGCAACCCUCGCCUUUAGUUGCCAUCAUUCAGUUGGGCACUCUAGAGGGACUGCCGGUGACAAACCGGAGGAAGGUGGGGAUGGCGUCAAGUCCUCAUGGCCCUUAUGGGUAGGGCUUCACACGUCAUACAAUGGUACAUACAGAGGGCCGCCAACCCGCGAGGGGGAGCUAAUCCCAGAAAGUGUAUCGUAGUCCGGAUCGCAGUCUGCAACUCGACUGCGUGAAGUUGGAAUCGCUAGUAAUCGCGGAUCAGCAUGUCGCGGUGAAUACGUUCCCGGGUCUUGUACACACCGCCCGUCACACCAUGGGGGCGGGUUUUACCAGAGGUAGGUAGCUUAACCGCAAGGGGGGCGCUUACCACGGUAGGAUUCGUGACUGGGGUGAA